GCGCUCGUAGCUCAGCUGGAUAGAGCAACGGACUUCGAAUCCGUUGGUCGGGAGUUCGAAUCUCUCCGAGCGCGCCA
RNAcentral lists this transfer RNA (77 nucleotides) under bacterium. Its description in RNAcentral is "tRNA-Arg". It matches the Rfam family "tRNA". From Rfam's summary of the family: Transfer RNA (tRNA) molecules are approximately 80 nucleotides in length. Their secondary structure includes four short double-helical elements and three loops (D, anti-codon, and T loops). Further hydrogen bonds mediate the characteristic L-shaped molecular structure. tRNAs have two regions of fundamental functional importance: the anti-codon, which is responsible for specific mRNA codon recognition, and the 3' end, to which the tRNAs corresponding amino acid is attached (by aminoacyl-tRNA synthetases). tRNAs cope with the degeneracy of the genetic code in two manners: having more than one tRNA (with a specific anti-codon) for a particular amino acid; and 'wobble' base-pairing, i.e. permitting non-standard base-pairing at the 3rd anti-codon position. RNAcentral also lists the same sequence under 2 other names. The record is from RNAcentral.